RNAcentral lists this long non-coding RNA (441 nucleotides) under Pan troglodytes (chimpanzee). Its description in RNAcentral is "lincRNA". The record is from RNAcentral. Lineage: Eukaryota; Metazoa; Chordata; Mammalia; Primates; Hominidae.
GAGCAGGGAAGCCAGGAGGUGUGCUCCGCUUUUGUGCUACUGGCAUAUGAAGAAACUGGGGCUCUGAAUGGCAUAUUAACGCGUGCAGCUCUAGACAGCGAGGAAGUGAUGGCAACUCUAUCCGAACUCAAAUCUGCCAGACCUAUACCAGUAGGUGCCUGUGUGCAGUUGGGGACUCACCUCUGCCAGUGCUGGCAUGAGCUAGCUGUCUUGAACUGAAAACAGACACUCAAAGAUGGGCUAUGGGAUCCCAGAGAGGUGGCAGAAUGGUCAAAGCUAUGAAGCCAACAGCUGCUGCCAAGAAGAAAGUCCUGAGCCCUGAGUGAUUGUAAUUUAAAAAACUUAAUGCUGGGAGUGGGUGUUUAUUUUGGAGGAGUGGGCUGCUUAUUUUUGGUUAGGGGACUUGUUCAUUCAUCUUUUCUCAGCUGCACCUACUGCUGC